CCAAUAGCGUAUAUUAAAGUUGUUGCAGUUAAAAAGCUCGUAGUUGAAUUUCGGGAUCAAUAUGUUGGUCGUGCCUUGGUACGUACUGGCAUUAUCGAUUCCUACCUUCUGAAGAACCUCGAUGUCAUUAAUUUGGUGUCUUGGGGAAUCAGGACUGUUACUUUGAAAAAAUUAGAGUGUUUAAAGCAGGCUCGCGCUUGAAUACAUUAGCAUGGAAUAAUGAAAUAGGACGUUUGAUUCUAUUUUGUUGGUUUCUAGGAUUGACGUAAUGAUUAAUAGGGAUAGUUGGGGGCAUUAGUAUUCAAUUGUCAGAGGUGAAAUUCUUGGAUUUAUUGAAGACUAACUACUGCGAAAGCAUUUGCCAAGGAUGUUUUCAUUAAUCAAGAACGAAAGUUAGGGGAUCGAAGACGAUCAGAUACCGUCGUAGUCUCAACCAUAAACGAUGCCGACCAGGGAUCGGCGGAUGUUGCUUAUAGGACUCCGCCGGCACCUUAUG
RNAcentral lists this ribosomal RNA (496 nucleotides) under uncultured Glomus. RNAcentral describes it as "SSU rRNA". It matches the Rfam family "Eukaryotic small subunit ribosomal RNA", at positions 591 to 1092 of the family's 1831-position model. Lineage: Eukaryota; Fungi; Glomeromycota; Glomeromycetes; Glomerales; Glomeraceae. The record is from RNAcentral.